Molecule: ribosomal RNA, 321 nt
Filed under: uncultured Acidobacteriota bacterium
Lineage: Bacteria; Pseudomonadati; Acidobacteriota
Description: bacterial SSU rRNA
Rfam family: Bacterial small subunit ribosomal RNA
Source: RNAcentral
ACGCUGGCGGCGUGCCUAACACAUGCAAGUCGAACGCGAAAGUCCCGCAAGGGCUUAGUGUCCACAAACGGGUGAGUAACGCGUGGGUGACCUGUUAAGAGUAGGGGAUAACGUUCCGAAAGGGACGCUAAUACCGCAUAACAUCCUGCCUUUGAAGAGGUGGAGAUCACUCCCCGCAAGAUCGCAAGACCUGGCGCUCGAAGAGGGGCCCGCGUCCGAUUAGCUAGUUGGUGGGGUAACGGCUCACCAAGGCGACGAUCGGUAGCCGGCCUGAGAGGGCGGACGGCCACACUGGGACUGAGACACGGCCCAGACUCCUAC